GCCGCUAUCGUCUAGGGGUUAGGACGGAUGAUUCUCAGUCAUCAAACCGGGGUUCGAUUCCCCGUAGCGGUACCA
Molecule: transfer RNA, 75 nt
Filed under: Acidobacteriota bacterium
Lineage: Bacteria; Pseudomonadati; Acidobacteriota
Also listed under: 2 other names
Description: Acidobacteria bacterium tRNA-Glu
Rfam family: tRNA
About the family: Transfer RNA (tRNA) molecules are approximately 80 nucleotides in length. Their secondary structure includes four short double-helical elements and three loops (D, anti-codon, and T loops). Further hydrogen bonds mediate the characteristic L-shaped molecular structure. tRNAs have two regions of fundamental functional importance: the anti-codon, which is responsible for specific mRNA codon recognition, and the 3' end, to which the tRNAs corresponding amino acid is attached (by aminoacyl-tRNA synthetases). tRNAs cope with the degeneracy of the genetic code in two manners: having more than one tRNA (with a specific anti-codon) for a particular amino acid; and 'wobble' base-pairing, i.e. permitting non-standard base-pairing at the 3rd anti-codon position.
Source: RNAcentral